RNAcentral lists this ribosomal RNA (324 nucleotides) under Triticum aestivum (bread wheat). Its description in RNAcentral is "partial small subunit ribosomal RNA". Lineage: Eukaryota; Viridiplantae; Streptophyta; Magnoliopsida; Poales; Poaceae. The record is from RNAcentral.
AUGCAAAUAAUCUUAGUUCUAGAAUACAACUUAUCUUUUGGCAUGGUCUACUUGAUGCAAACAAUUCUAUUAUAUAAUGUCUGUUGUUUAAGUUCAUAUAUACACUACUUACUAUUCUUCUUGUUCAAUAGUCAAAGAUAUGUGGAAAAACUUUUGACUUCCUUUGAAAAUUUUGUUAUUCUGAAUGAUUCUUGUGGAUCUCAUUUAAUCAGGCAAAAUUGCUCAUGCAUGGCGUACACCAGCACCAAGAUCAGCGACGCAUGGUUCCCUAACUUCGGCCAGGACUCUAUGUGCGUCUUGUCAUUGCCGAUCUCGGUCGAUUAG